RNAcentral lists this ribosomal RNA (417 nucleotides) under Leucothoe sp. 4 KW-2011. RNAcentral describes it as "partial 18S ribosomal RNA". It matches the Rfam family "Eukaryotic small subunit ribosomal RNA", at positions 1355 to 1604 of the family's 1831-position model. Lineage: Eukaryota; Metazoa; Arthropoda; Malacostraca; Amphipoda; Leucothoidae. The record is from RNAcentral.
AAAAUAGACAGGGAAGGACAACGCCGAGGAGCAAUCCGACGCUGCUUCCCUUCGAGCACACAAGUCCGCCGUGGCUGCGCGUUGGUUCGUGCGUGCCUGCGAAGUUUUGUGUCGGGGGAAACACGGGAAGAAAUUCUCUUUCUUCGGCGCAUAUAUCGCGUGGCGUGCGCGUUCUAGCGCGUAGACAAAGCGUUGUUUCUUCUUAGAGGUAUUGACGACUCUACAUAAGUCGUACGAGACAGAGAGCAAUAACAGGUCUGUGAUGCCCCUUAGAUGCCCUGGGCCGCACGCGAGCUACAAUGCCGGGUACAGCGGGUCUUACAUCCUUCUCCGAAAGGAGCGGGUAACCCUCUGAAAGCCCUUCCGAUGUACGCUGUAGUGCGCUUGUCGCGUUCCUACACGAACAUCAUGGCUCGA